AGAGUGCCCCGGCGUCUUUCUAGCCUCCGCCUCCAGGCGGGUGAGGAGGUGACACCUGAGAAUUCCUCCCUCUCACCCCUGACCCUGCCGGAAAGCGAAACUGAGAUGCGGGCAUUGGGCCCUGGGAAGCGUGGGGAAGGGGAAAGGAGAAAGCCAGGUGGGUUUUUAGGUCCCUUCCAGUGCCACACUGCGGGGCGUUGAGGGGCCGCUCGAGGCAGGCCCUUCCAUGAGGCCUGGACUGGAGGCCUUCUCUAGCCGCCGGCGCUGGCCUGGGCCGCCUGCCGCCACGCAGGGGCCGCGCGCCUGGGCCCCAGGGCCCCUUUGCCGGCGGGAGGCCGGGGGGACCGACUGCUCUUGGCGCCCGGGGUCGGGGGAGGCCGGGAAACCUCGGCUCCCGGGCGACAGGCACCCAGGCCCUUCUCAGCCCCCCGGCCGCGGCCGCGCCGGGCCUCGCUUCAGCCGGGCGAUUCUUCCCCUCAUUUGUUGCAUUGUUUGCAUUAAUAUGAAUAUCUUGUUCUGUUUGUUUUGUCUCCUGAGAGCCAAUAAAGCUGUGAGUUUUUUCAUUACACCAAAUGCAGCUCUACGGGCGAUCAAUCAAUGGGUAGUCUUCGGAUAAUCUGUGAGAGUGAGAAAUCUAAUAAAGCUAGCGACUAAAAAAGGAAAACAAAAUCUAUUUUUCUCUUAGGUUAACUACGUCAGGAUUAAUGUGUUCCACUUCUGCUGCCUGAGAAAAUGGAGAAAUUAAGUCCUUUCCAUGGAUCAUUCCUUCUGUAAACAGAGAUCACAAAGCAAGAGCUUCAGCAUCCUCGUGAAAAAGACAUUUUGUUCUGGGUGUCAUCAUCUCCUUCCACUACAGCUUGCAAUUGGAACAAGCUUCACAUCCUGGGGGUGCUGCCUAUCUCUGUCUUGAUUUCUGUCUGUCUAUUCCUCCCAUUGACAGGAAUGUCGUUUGUAUCCUCCACGCAGCAGUUUGCAGAAAUCCAGCAAGGUUUAUGGUUUAUGUUGCCCAGCAUGUAUAAACACAACGCUCUCAAAUGCUUUUUAAAAAUCUAUGAAUUUGUUAGAUGUCUUCACAUCCUGGUCCUCCUACCCCAAUUCUCAAACACAAAGUACUCUGUUGCCCUAUUAUAGUCCUGCGAUAGUUCUGGCUAGGAUUAGGUUGACGGUCUAAGCCCCAAGAAAGGCCUGGCAUUUUCAUAGCAGGCUUUCCCCAGUGCUUUGAGUCUUCCUCUCUCACUCCCUUUUUCUUUUUCCCUCGGAGGAGGGGGUGUUGGGGGUGGGAGGUGAUUAGUAAAUGUUUCAGGUAAUCUGUGAAUUCUUAAUAGUCAUAUUUCCGUGGUGGAAGAUCUCCCUAUUUCUCUGAUGUGACAGGUUACAGAAACCUUGGUGUUGGGGGUUUUACAGAUAUUUACAAGUUCUAGGAGUUUGAACUUUGGGUCAAGAUGUUGAUUCCUUUUAAUGUGCGAGGGUGAAGGAGGUUUUAUUUUGCUUUAUUCUUUUGGAUAUUAUGAGAUGAGAUUGUAUCCAGUCUUGGCUGUAACCUAUACCAUAAAUGCAGAGCUGCAACCAUUAUUUCUGUCUCUUUCUCCUUUUAUCACCUACACUUCUAGAGAUAUUACUUUCAGUUUUAUUGCAAAUCAUCUGUGUCUUUAGUUUAAACCAUUAUUUUUCAUAUACCCCAGGCACAUUUCCCUUAUAAUGAGACAAAUUUUAGAUUAUUAAUGUUCCACCUAAAAGGAUACUGUACACUUUUCAUUGCCAAUAUGGGCUUUGAAGCUUAAAUAUCAACAUUUUUAUAGGAAAUUUACCCAUGUCAAAUUUAAAUAUAUUUGCUUAUAUUUCUUGGAAAAAAGAUUUUGGAUAACUAUCAAUUAAGCAGCCAAUUCCAUUUGGGGUGCAGAAAAUUUUGAGCCCCUUGAUAAGAAGGAACAAAAUUUUUCCUCUAAAUAACCAACUCUGGAUCAGAAAAACUGAACUUUUCUAAAUAUUUAUUAUUAACAAAACUUUUUUUUGUCUGAUUCCACUAGAAGCAUUCUAUGUUGUGAACACUAUAAAGUUAUCCUAUGUUGUGAACACCAUAAAGUUAUGAGGGAAAAAAUGUCAAAUCUAAAUUUUAUUUAGAAGUAACAUAUUGUUUUUCUGGACUUGCAAUCCAAUUCGAAUGCAUCGUUAGACUUUUCUGUUUUCUUAUGAUUAAACAACAAUGGCUUAAAAUGAUAGCAAGUCAACUGAAAAGUUGCUUUGGAAUAAAACAAAAGUGGGAAUGCCAACUUUCUUUUCUUCUCUAUAA
This 2290-nucleotide long non-coding RNA is filed under the name Homo sapiens (human). RNAcentral describes it as "non-protein coding LINC01806:22". The record is from RNAcentral. Lineage: Eukaryota; Metazoa; Chordata; Mammalia; Primates; Hominidae.